ACUGGAGAAGGACUGCGCUGCAA
This 23-nucleotide non-coding RNA is filed under the name Cricetulus griseus (Chinese hamster). The record is from RNAcentral. Lineage: Eukaryota; Metazoa; Chordata; Mammalia; Rodentia; Cricetidae.